Molecule: non-coding RNA, 1597 nt
Organism: Oryctolagus cuniculus (rabbit)
Lineage: Eukaryota; Metazoa; Chordata; Mammalia; Lagomorpha; Leporidae
Source: RefSeq, a predicted model, not a curated record
GCCUGGCCCAGCCCUAGCUAUUGCGGGCAUUUGAGGAGUAAACCAACGGAUGAUCAUGUUCUAUCUCUAUGUCUCUUUUAAAAAAAAAAAAAGUUUAUAGCUAGAAUCCUCUUCUCCACAUCUUCCAUGUGGUAAACAGAGAGGUAGAUUUUUCUUGUUUCCCUACCUGCGGCUCACAACAAGCUGUUCUCAGAGGUUGGGGUGGCUGCAGUGACACGGAGUUGCCCCUUUGAAGCAGACCUGGUGAUUCUAAAAGGCAGUUUAGAAUGUGAGUAUGUAACUCAUCAGCUCCAAUCCCAGUGUCAGCUGGGGCAGCAGCUACACGAGGCUUAACUAGGGCUGGCAGACCCACUCGUGUACUGAGUCACGUGAUGGCUGGGUCAUAGUCCAGAUUCAGUAUGGGCCGAUUCUAUUAAAAGCACCUAGGAAGCAGUACAACUACAGAGCCAAAAUACGUGAUCUUUUGUAAGGUUUAUAACUCACAGUGUGGCACUGCUUAUUUCAUCCACUGCAAGCAUCAAUAAGAUUUGAAUUUUGGAAACAGAAGAGUUUAAAUUGAUGGCAUUUCUACCUACUUCAUUUAUCAAAUAUUUAUCAAGAAACUCUAUGUCCCCAGCACAGUCUGGACAUUUAAAACCAGCAGUGAAAUAAGAAUGGCUAAUUCCCUGCUCUCUGACAGUACACGUUUCAGCAGAGGGAGACAGAGAGAAAACAGGUGAGUGAAGAGGUAUCCUGCAACAGGUAGUGGUAAGUACGAAGGAGAAAUACAGCCAGUGUCUGAGAGGGUGGGAUGCAGUUUUAAGUAGAGUGGUUGGGGAAAGCCUCACCAAGAAGGCAGCCCUCUGCAAGACCUGCAGGAAGUGAGGUCCUUCCAAGGGAAGAGCAUUUCAAAGAAACCAAGGGAAGCAAAACUCUGUGGUGGGACAUGUGUGGCAUGUGUGAGGAGCAGCGGCAAGGCCAAUGUGGCUGGGGAAAGUGAGCAAGGGAGGGUGGAGCCGGAUACGGCAUCAGAGAGGCAAAGGGAGAGCACAGAAACCCUACAGGAGCUUGGGCUACCUCAAGGACUUUGGCCUUGACUCUGGCAGAUGGGAAACGGCUGGGCAGUGUUGAGAAGGAUGACAUGAUCUUGGCUUGCAAAGAGAUCAGCAUGGUCACUGUGCAAAGGCUGUUUCUGCAAUUCAAGGACGAGAUGACGAUGGCCGUGACGAUGUGAGGGGCAGCAAUGAGGAGUGGGUGGAAUCUGGAUAUUUGUCAUGUGAAAUCAACAAGAUUUGCAUAUAGAUGUGAGAGAGAUGCAAGAGAAUAAUCAAAAAUGACUCCAAGUGAUUGGUCAGAGUGAGAGAAAGCCUGAAGUUACUGAGAGGCUCCGGGAGGCAUUUCACACAUUCAGCAAUGGGUAAUCAAAUAUGAGAAGCUUGCUUCUUGGCUAUCUAAGCAGUAGUGGAGAGCAAACAAUUUGCUUUAAGAUUCAUCUCUGUCCUCUGUAGAUUCCUUGUACCUGCUUGCUUCUAUAGCCGAGGCAUUCUUCAACUGCUGUUUUAACCAAGCUUGACUGUGAACGUCUACAAGAGGUCUAGAACCUCAAUACUACUUUUAG